Molecule: long non-coding RNA, 1395 nt
Filed under: Calidris pygmaea (Spoon-billed sandpiper)
Lineage: Eukaryota; Metazoa; Chordata; Aves; Charadriiformes; Scolopacidae
Description: lncRNA (ENSCPGG00000000091.1)
Source: RNAcentral
GUUUUAAGCAUGUUUAAGCAUGUAGAGGCAUGCUUUAAGCGUGUUUAAGCGUGUAGAGGCAUGCUUUAAGCGUGUUUAAGCAUGUUUUAAGCGUGUUUAAGCAUGUAGAGGCAUGCUUUAAGCACGUUUAAGCAUGUAGAGGCAGGCUUUAAGCGUGUUUAAGCAUGUUUUAAGCAUGUUUAAGCAUGUAGAGGCAUGUUUUAAGCGUGUUUAAGCAUGUAGAGGCAUGCUUUAAGCGCGUUUAAGCAUGUAGAGGUAUGUUUUAAGCAUGUAUAGUCAUACCGAGGCGUGUUUUAAACCCGUUUGGGCACCCCAAGGCGUGUUUUUAAGCGUGUUUUCCCGUGUCGGGAGGUGUUGGGGGGGGUGCUGAGGCGUGUUCUUGGCGUGUCCCCGCCGCAGCCGUGGCUCAGCGACCCCGAGGAUGCCCCGUUCCUGGACCCCGUCCUGCGCAAACGCGCCGUCAAGGUCAAACACGUCAAGCGCCGGGAGAAGAAAUCGGACAAAAAGAAGGAGGAGCGGUACAAGCGGCACCGGCAGCGGCCGCGGCACCGGGAGCGGAGCCGGCACCCGGAGCGCCCCGACGCCCGCGACCCCGCCGGGCUGGGCCAGUGCCUGGGCCCCGGCUGCACCCGCCCCGCACGGCCCCCCUCCAAGUACUGCAGCGAGGCCUGCGGCGUCAAGCUGGCCGCCAAGUGAGUAGAAACCAGUACGGACCAGUAGAGACCAGUACGGAGUAGUAUAAACCAGUAUGGAGUAGUGGGGAGGGCGAUAGACCCCUGUGGUGUCCCCGUCAUCCAAGCGCUGGGGGGAGGGUGGUGGUGUCUAGCUGGAUGUUAGGUGAGUAUAAACCAGUAUAGACCAGUAUAAACUAACGCAGACCAGUAGAAACCAGUAUAGACCAGUAGAAACCAGUACAGACCAGUAGAAACCAGUAUGGAGUAGUGGGGAGGGCGAUAGACCCCUGUGGUGUCCCCGUCAUCCAAGCGCUGGGGGGAGGGUGGUGGUGUCUAGCUGGAUGUUAGGUGAGUAUAAACCAGUAUAGACCAGUAGAAACCAGUACAGACCAGUAGAAACCAGUACAGACCAGUAGAAACCAUGUAGGGAAUAGUGGGGAGGGNNNNNNNNNNNNNNNNNNNNNNNNNNNNNNNNNNNNNNNNNNNNNNNNNNNNNNNNNNNNNNNNNNNNNGGGGGGGGGGGGAGGGUGGUGGUGUCCAGCUCGCUGCCACGUGAGUAGAAUCCAGUAUGGACCAGUAUAGACCAGUAUGGACCAGUAUAGACCAGCAUGGACCAGUUCACACCAGAACCCCGCCAGGUUCCCGCAGGAUCCCCCACAGAUCCCGGGGUGUCGGGGGGGUCCCCGGGGUCCCAGUCAGAGGGUACCCCCCCAGUGGAUCC